Molecule: unclassified non-coding RNA, 1218 nt
Filed under: Hevea brasiliensis (rubber tree)
Lineage: Eukaryota; Viridiplantae; Streptophyta; Magnoliopsida; Malpighiales; Euphorbiaceae
Source: RNAcentral
UUUUUUUUUUUUCACUAUCUAUGGGAUCAAUGAACUUUACAAGUACCGUGGACUCUUGAGGCUUUUGGGCUGGUUUACUUUUGGUUUUAAGUUUUCCCUCUGAUGCAUGCUUUGGACAAAGAUCCCAAAUAUCGUUAAUAGGCCUAUUUUUUCUCCUUUAUUUUAAGUUUUAACACUCCAUUCAACUUGAAAUGAGGUAGAGGAACCUCCCCUUCAGUAUCUGAAAUCACUUGACGGGCUUGAUGCUCUAAGCUGGGCUCUGAGACAGGCCCAUGCUAGAAAUGGAGUUUUGGUCCAUACCAAUGGAUGAGUAUAGAUUCCUAAAAUGCUAGUUAGGUCCUGACAUCACCAAGCUGGGAGGUUAUUGACGUAUUUGGUAGCUCCAGCUCACUAAUAUUUAAAGCAUUAAAGUGUUCAGCCAGCGAAGUGUACAAUAUCCUCAGUUCAAACUUUGCACAUGCUCCCUCUUUUGUUGUGCCAAUCAUUCUGGCAUUCACUUCCCUAGUAUCCUCUUCCCGAAUGGGAGACAAAAGCAUUGGAGAGAUUGAAGGAGAUAGUUGGCCUUCCUGUUGCACCGCAGUCUCUUAAAUAUCACCAUGCAUAGAGCAGUCAUCACCAGUCCCAUCGUUGAUACCUUCCAGGUUUGUGGUGCCAAGUGUAUUAUGAACUCGUUCCAUGCCACCGCAUUCCUCCACAUCAUCGUCUUCCCCAGAGGAAGAAGCAGGAGAUGUGUUUCUCUUACGUAGCACUGAAACUGGAGGAUGAAAAAGUUCAAAACAUGGCUCUUCAAGGGCCAAGAUUUUAUGUCGAAGGUUGCCAAUAUCCAUACUUAUGAGCUUAUUGAUUUGUUCUCGAGAGUCUAUAACCAUUAAUCAUCUUGCAAAAUCAAGUCUCGUUUUCUUUUGAGUUAUUCUGUCCACAGAGAUAAAAUUGGCACAGAGGUUUCCAACCCAUUUGAAGAAAUCCCAGUUCCAAACUUUAAGUGGGACACCCUGAAGUCGAAGCCAAAUUAAUCAUUUGGAUGGCGUAAAAGAGGGAUCCCACGGCUUACAAUAAAAAACCUAUCGAUCCAACCAUGUGCUUUACUUGGAUAGAAAACAUUCCAUAAUUUCUAGUGACUCAAAGGUCAAAAGAACCAUGUCACCACUGAGGGGGAAUAUUGAUAUGGAUAAGACCCCUUCUACCAGAAAAUGUUCCUCCAAAUUAGGAAAAAAGUGA